AAUUUUAUUUACAUCUUUAAAAGAAAAUUGAGCUACGUGAAUAUAAUAACUACGUUUCAAAUAAGACAGUAAUGUAUAAUUGCAUAACAAAAUCAUAACAAUGUCUUAAGGAUGUUCGCUACUCGCUAACAAGUUUUUUUAUAGUAUCGAUUGGUAGAUUAAGAUAUAACAAAACCUUAAAGAACAUAUAAGUACGAGAGGUCCGUGAUCUUGUUUUUGAGGUAUAAGCUUUUGAAAUUUGCCGGGAAAUGAAACUCUCUAGAUUUUUCAUACAUUUCAUUUGCAUUUAGCAUUCAAUUUGUUUAACAUUUGAAUAUUUUUUCUUUCAAAAACUGAAAAACGAUUAUAUUACAUUUUCAAAAAUAGCUUUUCAAAAAUAAUAAUAAUAAUUAAAGUUAUUAUAAGAAAAGAAGGGGUUAGACGGCAAAAUAUUUAAUAACCCUUCAUAGAUAAAACAAAAAAAUUGUGAAUAUCUGACGAAGAGUAAAAAAAAAAAGAGUAACAAACAUCCUCAAUUAUAAAAAUGUAAUAAAAUCAAUAAAAAUAUAUUCCCAUCUUUGAUGAUUUUUUUUGGCACAAAUAUUAAAAAAAUGACGGAACAAAAGUUUUUUGUUUUCAUUAUGUUCCCAAAACAAUUGAGUCAACUAUAUGUAUCACAAUGCAUUCUAAUGAUGUUGUAUUCUGACGAGUAGGUAUCCCAGUGGUAUGAAAACAUAUGAUUCAUGUCACAUACCAAAAUCAGAAAAAAACAAGAAAUGUCUAAUGAACAAAACAAUAAAUUCACAUCUAAACAGGCAAUGUAUGUGCAAGUUAUUAUGCAAAAAACCCAAAAUAAUAGAAAAUGACUGCAAGUAUACGACCAGUAACAUUUGUUUGGUCUAGCAUGUUGAAUGCAACAUAAAAAAAAAAAAAACAAACCGAGACAACUGAAUUAUUAUGAACAUUUGUAUCGUAAAAAUAAAAAUUACAAUGUAGUAGUCGAGAACAUGUAAAUAAAAAAAAAACGAUUAAUUGAUUGAUUGAUUGGUUCAUUAUUGAUUACUUGGUUGAUUGAUUGACUGAUUGAUUGCUAACAAGUGUUUAACGUCGAAAAGGAGCAUAUACAAGAUAUAGGCGGAAUCAAAGAGGUUUAUCUGAACAAUUUACGGUAAAUGUUGGUUAUAGAAAAGGAAAAUACAUAAUUUUAGGUUAUAAAGACAAAUUAAAGUAUCAGAAGUCUGUACAACUACAGUUUUUAAAAGAGAUAAAAUGAACAAUGUUUUGCCCCCCUCCCCCCUAUGAUUAUACGAUGGCUGCGGUCAACUCUCUACUGAAACGAUUACAGUGGUCAAUUCUCUACAUGAUGACAGUGAUCAACCCUCCACACGAUUGUAGUAAUCAACUCUCUACUCAACUAUCUACAUGGUAGCAGUAAUCAACUCUCUUCACGAUUACAGUGAUCAACUCUUUACACGACGACAGUGGUCAAUUAUCUACACGAUUACAGUGAUCAAAUCUUUACACGACGACAGUGGUCAAUUAUCUACACGAU
Molecule: long non-coding RNA, 1531 nt
Filed under: Mytilus galloprovincialis (Mediterranean mussel)
Lineage: Eukaryota; Metazoa; Mollusca; Bivalvia; Mytilida; Mytilidae
Source: RNAcentral